GGCCUCGUAGCUCAGCUGGUAGAGCAUGCGCGUACAAAGCGUAGGCGGUGUCCAUGAGUGGGUUCGAAUCCCACCGAGGCUA
Non-coding RNA from Echinostoma caproni, 82 nucleotides. NCBI's taxonomy places the organism in Eukaryota, Metazoa, Platyhelminthes, Trematoda, Plagiorchiida, Echinostomatidae. The record is from Rfam.